Molecule: ribosomal RNA, 201 nt
Filed under: uncultured bacterium
Lineage: Bacteria
Description: partial 16S ribosomal RNA
Rfam family: Bacterial small subunit ribosomal RNA
Source: RNAcentral
GCAGCCUGCAACUCGGCUGCAUGAAGCUGGAAUCGCUAGUAAUCGCGGAUCAGAAUGCCGCGGUGAAUACGUUCCCGGGUCUUGUACACACCGCCCGUCACACCAUGGGAGUCGGAAAUGCCCGAAGUCUGUGGCCCAACCUUAGGGAGGGAGCAGCCGAAGGCAGGUCGGAUGACUGGGGUGAAGUCGUAACAAGGUACC